GCAGCUUCGAGCGGCGGGAGGAGCGCGCCUUCUGGGGCGGGAUUCAGGACAGGUUCGCGGGAGGGAGGAUCAGACGCUGAAGUCCUCUGCCCACUCUUGCUGUUAGCGGUGAGCUUUGGGAGCCACCCCCCACCCCCGGAAGCCUUCCAUGGGUCAGCCGGAGAUGGAGAUGGACCCGGCCUCAUGUCUGUAAGGUUUGAUUCUUGGCUUGGCUGAGGUCACUCAUCGGGAAGGUUAUUUACCCUCAGGGUCUCAUUACUGCUCCGCAUCUUGGGGAGUUAGUGUGGUUACUUUUUCUAAGGAGGCUGGUGGCCCUUCUUCCAAGAAAAGAUAACUGUUUGUUUGUUUGUUUGUUUGUAGACAGACACUUGCUGUGUAACCAAGGCACCUACCACAGAUUGCCCACAGGCUGGGCUUCCAGACAUCGCUGUCGCGGGGUUCAUUCGUGCACACUUGUAUCCAAACUUCAGCUGCCUUUCCCACCUGCCACUUAGCCACUUCCUGAGUUCCAGCUUCCCAGGUCUUCCGCCUCAUCACCUUGUCACAAACCAGUGUUCCUUGCAGUCUUAGCUGUUGCUACCAUUACCUCCUAUGCCACCCUUCCACAGGAGACUCCACACACUCUCGUUACCUGUGACCACUGUGUAGUCAGUCCCUGGCUGACUUCAGAUCCAAACCCUUCACCUUCAGCUUGGCAUUCAAGGCAGUUUGAAAUGUAGAUCCAGUCCCAGGCUGGCUGGUGCUAUUGAGAAAUGGAUUUCACCCCGGGCAGUCAAAGAGGGAACCAAUCUCAACAUUUGUCACCAUCUUUUUUUUUUUUUUUUUAAAGAUUUAUUUAUUUAUAUGUAAGUACACUGUCGCUGUCUUCAGACACACCAGAAGAGGGCAUCAGAUCUCAUUACAGAUGGUUGUGAGCCAUUUGUCACCAUCUUUUUUUUUUUUAAAGAUUUAUUUAUUUAUUAUAUGGAAGUACAUUGUAGCUGUCUUCAGACACUCCAGAAGAGGGAGUCAGAUCUCGUUAUGGAUGGUUGUGAGCCACCAUGUGGUUGCUGGGAUUUGAACUCUGGACCUUCGGAAGAGCAGUCGGGUGCUCUUACCCACUGAGCCAUCUCACCAGCCCCAUUUGUCACCAUCUUAACAAAGAAUAGGCCGACUGAAAUAUUGACCUAGCAGACAUCUACAGAACAUUCCAGCAAGUACUGCAGAGCACACAUUCUUUUCAGUAGCCCCUGGGACUUUCUCUAAAAUAAAUUACUGUUAGGAUGCAAGCAAGCCUUACGAGUGUGGGACAAUUGAAAUAUUUGCUUGCAUUCUAUCUGAUCCUCACAGACAUCAAACCAACACAAGAUCCUAUAGCACAGGCUCAUGUAGUUAAACAGCACACUACUGAGCGACCGUGGCUUAUUGAAAAAGUCUAGAAGGGGGACCCUGUUAUAGCUGUCUCUUGUGAGGCUAUGCCAGUGCCUGGCAAAUACAGAAGUGGAUGCUCACAGUCAUCUAUAGUAUGGAACACAGGACCCCCAAUGGAGAAGCUAGAGAAAGUACCCAAGGAGCUGAAGGGGUCUGCAACCCUAUAGGUGGAACUAACUAGUACCCCCAGAGCUCGUAUCUCUAGCUGCAUAUGUAGCAGAAGAUGGCCUAGUCAGCCAUCACUGGGAAGAGAGGCCCCUUGGUAUUGCAAAUUUUAUAUGCCUCAGUACAGGGGAAUGCCAGGGCCAAGAAGCAGGAGUGGGUGGGUAGGGGAGCAGGGCGGAGGGAGGGUAUAGAGAACUUUCGGGAUAGCAUUUGAAAUGUAUAUAAAGAAAAUAUCUAAUAAACAGAAAGAAAGUGAGAGAGAGAGAGAAAGAGAGAGAGAGGAAGAAAGAAAGAAAGGAAGGAAGGAAGAAAGAAAGAAAGAAAGAAAGAAAGAAAGAAAGAAAGAAAGAAAGAAAGAAAGAAAGAAAGAAAGAAAGAAAGAAAUCAAGCUGAGCAAGAAGCCAGGGGAAGCAAGACGGCAAGUAGCAUCCCUCCGUGGCCUCUGUAUCAGCUCCUGCUUCCUAAGUGGGGGAGCGGGGGGGGGGGGGCGGGAGAGGGGGGUGAGUCUAGAAGGAACACAAGAAAUCCCUAAAAACAAAGGAAAACGAAAAUACAAUAGCCUCAAACUCCAUGAGUUACCACGAACGUAGUAAGAAGAGAGGUAUUUGUGGCAAUAGUUGUCUACGUUAAAGAUGUAAGAGACCAGUCAAAUAAAUGGUGACAUACACCUCAGGGCCUUGGAAACCAAGGUAAAGUUAGAGUAAUUACAAUAGGGCAGAAAUUGAUGACAGGAAGAUUAAAGAAUGAACAAAAGACAGAGUUGCUCUUACAGGAAGUCAGCGUGACUGAGAAACCUUCAGCCACGCUAACUAAACGGAGGAGAUACUCAGCAAGCUCUGAGGUGUAAAGACCUGCUGUAACACAUGGCAAGGACAUUUACAAAGUUAUAGGCUAGGGCUACACGGCGUGAUGAAAGCCUUUAAACCGAGCACUUAGGAGGCAAAGGCAGGUGGAUCUCUGCAAGUUGGAGGCUAGCCUGGUCCAUAAAGGGAAUUCCAGGAUAGCCGGAGACUGUUACAUCGAAAAACCCCAUCUCAAAACAAACAAACAAACAAACAAAGAAUGGGGUUUUGAUUUGUUUGUUACUGAGCUUGGUCCCAUAUCUGAAGCCAGGACUGUACCUAGGAAUUAGCUCAUGGCUAACUGUAAUGACAUACUUAAAAAUCUAAUUUCCCACUAGCUUAGAAGGUUCAAAAGAAAUGUUAAAAAUGUCGAGGUGCACAUACUGAUCAAAAUCAAACCAAGAUAAAAACUCUUUUCUGUUGUUUGUUUUUGAUUUUGGUUUUUGGUUUGUUUUUUUUUUUUUUUUAGACAGGGUUUCUUUGUGCAACUUUGACUGUCCUGGAACUAGAUCUGUAGACCAGGCUAGCCUUAAACCUCUGCAUCCUGAGUGCUUGGAUUAAAAAGGUGUAUACCCUAUACCCAACUAAGCAAUUACUGUUCUAGCUAGUCCUAGACCUACUGACCCAGGUUAGCUUCUUAGAGCCCACAUGGUGGCUCACAGACUACCUAUGACUCCAGCUUCAAAGGAUCCAAUGCCCUCUUCUGACCUCCUUGGACUUCUGCACACAUGUGGUUCACACACACACACACACACACACACACACACACACACACAUUUUUUAAAAGAGAUUUAUUUAUCUUAUGUAUAUGAGUACACUGCAGAUGUCUUCAGACACCUGAAGAGGACAUUGGAUCUCAUUACAGAUGGUUGUGAGCCACCAUAUGGUUGCUGGGAAUUGAACUCAGGACCUCUGGUAGAACAAUCAGUCCUCUUAACCUCUGAGCCAUCUCUCCAGCCCCCAGUAAAUACUUUUUAAAUUAAAUAAAAAUUUGUCUACUGGGCUGGCAAGAUAGUUUAGCAUGUAAAGGCACUUGCCGCCAAGCCUGACGACAUUUAUCGGGACCCCAAGACCCAUGUGAUAGAGAGAACCAAUUUCCACAAGUCGUCACCUAGCCGCCACAUGUAGGCUCCAACAUUCACAUACCCACACAAAGAAAUAUAAUAUUAAAAUUAAGAAUAUUAUUUUAUUUGUUUAGAUAUGUGUUUAUGAAUGUGUAUGUUUGAGUGUAUGAGCAUGUAUGUUUAAAUAUUUGUGUAUAUAUAUAUUUAAGUGUUUUUGUAGAGGCUAAAGGAGGGAAUGGUGCCUGCCUUCAUCACUCUCCACCCAUUCUUUUGAGAUGUGGUCUCUCCUUCAACCUAGGGCUUGCAUUUCCUCAGGUAAACAGGAAAUUAGGAAGCCCCACAGACCCUCCUGUCUCUGUUCACCUAAAAGCUACAGUUACAGAUGUGUGUGUGGGAUGCCAGCUUUGUAUAUAGGUGCUGGGACCUGAAUUCUAGCUGUCAUGAUUGUACAGCAAAUGCUUUCAACUGCUGAGCCGUCUCCCCAGCCCUGAAGACAAACGAGUUCAGCAGCUCUGUAACAAGUAAGGAGACUAAAGCAGUGAUCAAUUCUCCCAAAUAAAAAAGGUUCAGGUCCUGGUGGAGUCAUUGCUGAAUCCCACAGGACCUUUGGAGAAGCGUGAUCAGAAAUAGGAAGGAAAAAACUACCUACCAAACUUAAAAAAGAAAGCAAGUGAGCAAACAGAAGGGAGGGAGGGAGGGAGGGAGGGAGGGAGAGAGACAGAGAGAUGGGGUAUGUGUGUUUUGCCUGCAUGCAUGUCUGUGCACCACUUUCAUGCCUGGUCCCCUGCAGAGACCAGAAGAGGAUGUCAGAUCUCCUGGAACUGGAGUUACAGUUGUGAGUUUCCGUGUGGGUGGGUACUGGGAAUUGAGCCCACGUUCUCUGUAAGAGCAGCCAGUGCUCUUAACUGCUGAGCCGUCACUCCAGCCCAGCUGCCAAACUCGUUACAAAGCCAAUAUUACCCUGAUACCAAAACCAGAUAAACUACCAUAACAACAACAAAAAAUUACAGACCAAUCUCCCUGAUGAACAUUGAUACAAAAAUUCUCAAUAAAAUACUUGCAAACCAAGGUCAAAACACAGUUUUUAAAAAGGCCAUUCUUGGGGUUGACAGGGUGGUUAGCAGUUAAGAGUGCUUGCUGCUUUUCUAGAACUUGGGUCCUAGAACCUAUGUUGGGAGGCUUGCUACUGUAUGUAACUUCUUUCUCAAAAGAUCUAACUCCUUCUCAUGACCUCUGUGGACACCUGAACACGUGUGGCAUACACUCACACAAGCACACACAUACAUGUAAGUAAAAAAAAAAAAAGCUUUAAAAACUCCUUUGCCAGGAUGAAGUUGGCUUUAUUUCAAAGAAGCAGCGAUGGUUGGACUUAUGCAAGUCUAUAAAUGUAAUUUAUUGUAUAACUGGACUCAAGGACAGAAGUCACGUGAUCGGCUUAACAGAUGUGGAAAAGACCUUUGACAGCAUCCUACGGGACAGUUUCCUCACGACAGCCCCCGAAUAACUAGGAAUUGGAGGCACAUACCCAACAUAACAAAGGUGACAGACAACAGCCUGUUGGACUAGGAGUGGUGGCAUAGGUCUUGUUCCCAGAGCUCAGAGAGAGAAGCAGGCAGGUCUCUGUGAGUUCCAGGCCAACCAGGGCAACAGUGAGACCCUGUCUCCAAACAAAUGUGUAGCCGACCUUGUACUAAACAGGUAAAAACUAAAAGCAUUGUUUUGAAGACAGGAGCAAGACAGGGGCUAUACCUUCUCCUCUCUGCCUGUUAUAGUGUUAUAAGCUUUAACCAAGUCAAAAGAGAAAAAAAAGAAAGAAAAAAAAAAAAAAACAAGUAAAAGAGAAAUGAAAGAAUUGCCCCCUAUUGGCAGUUAAUAGGAUUCUACAUAUUAGAUCUACAGGCUGUACAGAAAACUCUUAGGAUUUGUAAGCUCGGGCUGGUGAGAUGGCUCUGCGGGUAAGAGCACUGACUGCUCUUCAAUUCCCUUCAUUCUUGGGACCCAGGGCUAUGUCCAUUGGCCACUCGGAGCCUAGGGAACCUUCACAAGCAUCUAGGGUAAGUGCCCCCUCAGCACUUAAGGAACAGCCUGAGACCCGCACGACUGCACCACUGCACCGUCUUCCCUGACAGCAGAGUCUUGUUUACCAAGGCCAGGGCUACUUCUACUCUGUUUGCCUUCCUGACAGCCAGCCUGCAUCACCCAGCCUUCAGCCUGGAGGUGCUGGCUAAGUUAGUAUAACUAGGCCACCAUUGCCUUUGCUUCCCCUAGAUUUCUGUGCUUGUACCUAAGUCAAUCUUGCAAAUAAAUAGAAAUAAGGCACGGGUGUGUGUGUGGGGGGGUGUUCACUUCCAUAAUGUGCAGCCCUAGGGACUGAUGCACAUGAAUCAUGAGUUUAAGGCUAGCCUGGGCUGUGCAGUGAAGCAGUGUACAGAAGCCUGAGAUAGGGGCUGGAAAGAUUGGUAAGCAGUUAAUAGCACUUUCUGCCCUUCCAGAGGACUGGGGUCUGGUUCUGGGCACUCACAUGGGGGCAGUUCACAACCACCUGUAAUUUUGGUUCCAGAGAAUCCAAUGCCCUCUUCUGACUUCCUCUACCACCCAGAUACACAUAGGUAAAAAUAAGAAAAUUUCUUCGUGAGUUCAAGGCCAGCCUGAUUCUAUAUAGUGAGUUCUGAGACAACCAAGCCUAUGGAGAAAGACCCUGUCUCAAAAACAAAACAAAAACAAAAAAAAAACCCCAACAAAAACAAAUAAAUAUGCAUAUUAAAUCCCAAUUAAUAUAAAAUGUAAUAAACCUGGAUAUAAUAAACAGUUACCCACGUAAAUGACACAAUCCUAUGCAUGUUAAAUACCAAUUACGUUGGAAGGUCUGUGCGCCUGUUUUCCCUAGCAGGUAAUGACUACAUUGCCUGGCACACAGCUGACUUAGGUAAGGGCUGAGGGAGCACUGUGAUGGGGUUCCCUAGAUGAGUCAUGGAUGCUGAAUUUCCGGUCACUCCAUGGCUGGAAGGACCACGUGCUUAGCCGUUCAAAGAUGCUUAAGAGGCAGCCCCAGAAAACUGGAAGUCUGGGAGUCUCACUCACCCUUGAAGGUCAGAGCAUGUCAUAGCCCGUCAGCCAAGAGGCUCUGCUCUGGAUUCAAUCUUAUAUCUAUGAGACCUGGUGAGCAAAAUCCCAGCCUGACUCCGACUCUGAAUCCCAAACUCUAGAAUGAGUGCUAACAGACAUUGCUCUGCUCCCAGCGCUUGCCCAUGUGUCCAUGGAGGUCUCCAGCCUUGCCAUGGCCAAGCCCCCAACACUGCAGAUAAGAAGCUUGGUAUCUGGCCUAAGGCAGAGAGCCAGAGAGAGAGAGGGCAGGGACAGCAACCUGAGAGAUUCCCUCCAUUUUUUCCAGACUUGGAAUCAGAGAAAAUUGAGAUUCACAGCUUUAACUCAGAAAGAAUUUCAGGUGUAACUAGUCUGAAACACUGUUGGACAUUGUACUAAAGAUAUUUUACUAUGGGUUGUUAUGACUGAGGAGAAAGAACGUGCUUAGAAAGAGGGAGGGAGCUUGGCUGAGGCUUCUCUGACAGCAGGAGGAAUAAGUCCAAGUUCAGUUGGGACUCCUCGAGGGAAAGCUUCAGUUAAAGAAAGGUUAUUAGGAUGCAGGGGAAGUGGACUUGUUUAGAAAUAGUCUUUUGCUGGGCAGUGGUAGCAAACUCCUUUAAACCCAGGACUUCGGAGACAGAGGCAGGCAGAUUUCUGAGUUCAAGGCCAGCCUGGUCUACAAAGUGAGUUCCAGGACAGCCAGGGCUACACAGAGAAACCCUGUUUCAAAAAACCAAAAAUAAAUAAAUAAAUAAAUAAAUAAAAUGAAGGAAUAGUUUUUUGGGGCAAAUCCAAUCUUUGUUGUUCUCAGUCCAUCCCACUAGCAAACACCAAACAUGAAUCAGCAGCUCUAGUCCAGUCUGUUCAGCAACCACCACGCACGAAUCAGCAGCUGCAGACCUCAGCAGACACCACACAGGACUGCAGGGGCAGUUCAGUCCUGAAGAAACGGCAAGGCUCGUCAACUGUCCAGAGUCCACUGUAGAAGCCGCAAGAUGCCACAGGAACCUCACGGUGUUCUUCAGUGAGUUUCUCUCUCUGACAUCACCAUAAGUGAAGCUCAAUGCAAUGUAAAGCAAACCAAUACACGUGUGCCAUCAGAGAAGACUGACAAGACAGGGCAAAGUGAGCCAAUGCACGCGCUCCCACUGUCUGUGGGGUCAUAUUUAUAUUCCUUCCAACUAUCACGUGUCCUUUCACGUGUCUGCUAUAGCAAGACAUUCUUUCACCUGUGUCUGCUUCAGCAAAAACAUUCUUGCAGGUGUCUGCUUUAGCAAAAAAUUCUUUCCCCUGUCUGCCCAGUAAAACAUCAUUUCACAUAACUGACUUUCUGAAGAAACCAGAAGUUCCCCCUUUAAAGCCCCUGCGUCAGUGUUGCUAUAAAACUUCCAACCUGCUGGUUCUUUCCAAGUGCUUU
Molecule: long non-coding RNA, 7982 nt
Filed under: Mus musculus (house mouse)
Lineage: Eukaryota; Metazoa; Chordata; Mammalia; Rodentia; Muridae
Description: long non-coding RNA chr7:127637119-127645101
Source: RNAcentral